CUCUCAGUGAAAAAGUAUCUUCGGAGUUUGUGAAAAUCUCUAGAAUGGAUAACCUCAUCCAAAUCUCCACUGACAGACUGAAGCAGACGGACGUGCGACUACCCAUUUCCUAACUUGGUUUUUCCCUCAACUGUCAUAGGAGUACUAGUUAUGAUGCAGUCGUUUUCCUCCCUGAAUCAAGUUGCUUCGAUCAUUGCUUCCCUUAAACCACACUGUCUUCAAAUGAGGAAUUUACACCAUUAUUACUAAGAAUAGCAAAGUACUUAGGGGAGACCGACAUCGGAUGGGAAAGUUUUGCGGUCUUGAAGCUAAAAUCCAACUCUGGCUGCUACUUUUUUCCUUUUUUUCUCAGCAAAGGAACUUUGAGACUUGAGAAGCUCACUCUGGAAUUUUGUGCUGUAUCUGUAGCAAGGACUCCCCCUCCCCAAACACCAAGGAUCUAGAUUAAGUGCUAAGUCUCUUGGUCCGAUCAAGCCCCAGUCUCCUUCUCUUCCUCCCUCUCACCCGCAAUAAGAGGAAGAAUCCACGCCAGGCUCGCGCUUGACUCUAAACCCAAUAUCUCCCUACAGCUGGUGCAUUGGAAGUUAUGAGCACAAACAGAUGCUGCAGAGAAAUCUGUUUCUAUUGCUCAACUCUUCCAAGCGUGUCUCAGUAUUUUUAGCUCUGAGGAUGUUCUGGUGCGCACACAAACUAUAUAGGCAAUGAGCCGGGACUCCAAAGCUUGCGGGAGGAAAGCAUUAACAGCAGCCUGACAACUGGGCACCUCCGGAGCAGCCGGAGCUGUAGGGUAGAGGACUGUGGAGCAAGUUCAUUGCCCUGGACACACACAGACAACCCAGAAGAGAACAGGAAGAAAACACAGAAGCCCUUACCUGUUGCUGGUACAGGAUCAUGGGGACAUGGAGUGGAAGUGGGGAUUACAGAAGCAUGUAAGAUCCAGUGGUUUUUGUGAAAGAGAAUGAGCCGAAGCAAGUGAGAAUUCCCAAGACACUGCUUGCCGGUGCUGGGAAGGCUGCGCGCUGGCCAGGGCUCCAGUGCGCUCUGCGAUAGCCUGGAGGCGGUCCUUGUGAUAACCGGCCUUGUUGGCUCCGCCCUCUGCCCACUGUUGGCCAAUCGGAGCGCACGUGGCUGCGCUUCCCCCGCCCCGGGAACCGCCAUCAGGAGGAGGAGGAGGAGGAUCUCUACACCCGCGGACCCUGGCUCUGCCAGCCUCGGAACCUGCUGUGGCUUCCUCUACCUCCUCCAGCUGCCUAGCCUGGUCUGAGAGUCCAGCUCUGGGCUGAGGAGGAGGAAGUCGCGGCCCAGAGGGUACAGCAACAGUGGAGGCCGGCUGUACGUGUUCCUGUAUAAGGGCCCGAGAGGUGUCAGUGCCUGGGAAAGACGUCUACAGCAGGGAGGGAAUAAAUAACCACUGGGGUGCGUCUCCCUCCAGCCCUUUUCCAGCCUGUAGACUGUGGAAACCCACAGAGCACUCAACUGCAGCUUGCGGAUAAUCCUUAAAUUAAACCUGGAAAGGGUCCCGGGACCCGCACUCAAUACCCUGCAAAAUUUAGAUGUGCUAGCGAUUGCUUGUCUGACUGGGCCGUUUCUCCUCGCAAAUGAUGGUGAAUUACUUACAAAAAAAAAAAAAAGAAAAAAAAUGCGCCUAGACUUCUCUGGGAUGUGUGGGGGAAGGGAGGGAGCCGCUGGUUCCUUUCGCCUUGUCCGCCCUCGCCCUCGAUCUUUCUCUCCACCACCGCCCGGCAAGCUCUGCUCAUGUAAAACCAGAACAAUUAGAGAGUAAUGAAUUCUCUGGAACAGCAACUCCUACAGACUCUCAGCUCUGCCCUCGCUCCAGCGCCUCCCCGUCCUCCUUCCCAGCAACCAGGCAAGAGUACUGCAGACCUUCAAAAACCAGCCUCGGUUAGCACCUGCAUCCUGACAAUUUAUAAAUGAAUUCUCCACUGAGUGUGUAAAGCAGGUGCAUGUUAUCUCUGAGUACAUUGGUAUCGUAGCGAAGCUUUGCUUUUAAAAUGACAUGAUGCGUUUAGGAGUCUUUUAUCUUCCACGGAGUUUUGCAGUCCGGUUUAAUGAAUAUGCUUCAAGCACCCCAAAGCAUCUGCCUACCUUUAACUUAAGCCCGUAAAGACUGCCUUGAGUCACCAAACAACCUCUACAAAAUAUUUCGCGUUCUAGGUGGUAGGAGCAGGGCACACUUUUAUGUGUACGAGUGUUGAAAGGAGCCGUUCUGAGCUGCUGAGUGGAUACCCACCUCCUAGUCCCACAUCCGCACUUGGCCCCUAGGAGGUGCUGGUGAAAUGUGCAUAGAUUUUCAUUUUACCUUAAGAAGCCUGCCUCUUUUCCUAGCAUGAGCAAUACACUUAAGAGGGUGCAGAAUGGAUCAUGAAAGCCCUGGGACUCUUUUGAUAUCCAAAUGGCAUUUCAUUUGCUGAGGCUGAAUCCCCAUCAAGCCCCAAUACUGAGGGUUGCCAUUUAAGCCCUUGUAUAAUGGGAUAUUUUUUCCCACAAGGAAAGUCUUCUUUAUCAUAUAUUAAGUCAUAUAUUAUUUAUAAAUAGCUUGGGUUAAAU
Mus musculus (house mouse) is the source of this 2568-nucleotide long non-coding RNA. RefSeq annotates it as predicted gene, 53651. NCBI's taxonomy places the organism in Eukaryota, Metazoa, Chordata, Mammalia, Rodentia, Muridae. The transcript is spliced from 3 exons. The record is from RefSeq and is a predicted model, not a curated record.